RNAcentral lists this ribosomal RNA (1342 nucleotides) under uncultured bacterium. RNAcentral's name for it is "bacterial SSU rRNA". It matches the Rfam family "Bacterial small subunit ribosomal RNA". The record is from RNAcentral.
AGAGUUUGAUCCUGGCUCAGAACGUACGCUGGCGGCACGCCUUAUACAUGCAAGUCGAACGGAGUAGCAAUACUUAGUGGCAGACGGGUGAGUAACAUGUGGGUAUCUUCCCUUUGGUGGGGAAUAACACGAGGAAACUUGUGCUAAUACCUCAUAAGUCUUUACGGAGAAAGCUUUAUGCGCCAAUGGAUGAGCCCGCACUUGAUUAGUUUGUUGGUGGGGUAAUGGCCUACCAAGACUGUGAUCAAUAGCUGAUUUGAGAGGAUGAUCAGCCACAUUGGGACUGAGACACGGCCCAAACUCCUACGGGAGGCAGCAGUAGGGAAUCUUGCACAAUGGAGGAAACUCUGAUGCAGCGAUGCCGCGUGAGUGAAGAAGGCCUUUGGGUUGUAAAGCUCUUUCGUCGGGGAAGAAAAUGACUGUACCCGAAUAAGAAGGUCCGGCUAACUUCGUGCCAGCAGCCGCGGUAAUACGAAGGGACCUAGCGUAGUUCGGAAUUACUGGGCUUAAAGAGUUCGUAGGUGGUUAAAAAAGUUGGUGGUGAAAUCCCAGAGCUUAACUCUGGAACUGCCAUCAAAACUUUUUAGCUAGAGUAUGAUAGAGGAAAGCAGAAUUUCUAGUGUAGAGGUGAAAUUCGUAGAUAUUAGAAAGAAUACCGAUUGCGAAGGCAGCUUUCUGGAUCAUUACUGACGCUGAGGAACGAAAGCAUGGGUAGCGAAGAGGAUUAGAUACCCUCGUAGUCCAUGCCGUAAACGAUGUGUGUUAGAUGUUGGAAAUUUAUUUUCAGUAUCGCAGCGAAAGCAAUAAACACACCGCCUGGGGAGUACGACCGCAAGGUUAAAACUCAAAUGAAUUGACGGGGACCCGCACAAGUAGUGGAGCAUGUGGUUUAAUUCGAAGAUACGCGCAGAACCUUACCAACACUUGACAUGUUCGUCGCGACUCUAAGAGAUUAGAGUUUUCGGUUCGGCCGGACGAAACACAGGUGCUGCAUGGCUGUCGUCAGCUCGUGUCGUGAGAUGUUGGGUUAAGUCCCGCAACGAGCGCAACCCUUACUUUUAGUUGCCAUCAUUUAGUUGGGCACUCUGAAAGAACUGCCAGUGAUAAGCUGGAGGAAGGUGGGGAUGACGUCAAGUCCUCAUGGCCCUUAUGUGUUGGGCUACACACGUGCUACAAUGGUAUCUACAACAGGAAGCAAGAUGGCAACAUUAAGCAAAUCCCAAAAAGAUACCUCAGUUCGGAUUGCACUCUGCAACUCGAGUGCAUGAAGCUGGAAUUACUAGUAAUCGUGGAUCAGCGUGCCACGGUGAAUACGUUCCCGGGUCUUGUACACACCGCCCGU